GUAUAGCUUUGAUUAUGUUGAACUCUUUACUUUGAUAUUUCUUUAUUUCAUGAAAGUAUGAAAAUAAGGUUUGUCUGAUGAUAUCAUAGUUGUGGUUACAUUUUUGGACCACAUAUUUGGUAUGAUCAUCAGUUUUUCCCAUAAGUCUAAUACUGUAUGGAAGAAACAUUGGGUUUUAUUCAUAGGUUCAAUUGUGACUUUUUCAUCCAUCUGGGUAAAUUUACAAUAAUGUCUAUUUUAAAAAAACAGCAAAAAGUAAUUGAAGAAAGACAUUAAUCAUUGAGAUAUCUGCCAACUUUUCUCUCCAAAAAAUUCACUUAUACAAGUAUUUUUAAACAAUCCCAUAUAUUCUCAAAAAAAAAAAAAAAAAAAAAAAUAAAUGUCUCAAUUUUUUUUCUGGUUUGGCGUAAUUUUUGUGUCAAGGAAAUUAAUUUAAAAAUUAGAAGGAACUGUUUGCUAGUGAUGACUGUAAAACGUGACUAACACCAUUUUGCAUUGCCGUUAAAACCUAGACCUACGUAUGUUGUUUUGCCUGUACCUUCUAGAAGUGUUCCAAAUCAAGUUUUUGAUUUUCAAGCUACAAAAAUAUCUGUAAUUGAUAUUUGAAUCUUGCAAUUAAUAAAUAUAGGAAAUGUAUCAUGUUUUAAUGAUAAACAAAUAUGUGAUUUCGAUAUUUUGAUAAUAUAAUGAUAGAAUUGAUGUAGAAAAAUAUAUAUAAUACUUUUUAUGUGACAAAGACUGGUUUUGUGAUCGUGAUUUUUAAAACUGAUUUUAUGCAAAUUUUUAUGUUGUCUUCUUAAAAUAGAAUUCAUAUUCUUAAUGCAUGAAUUUGUAUAAUAAUAUUUUCUUCAGUAUUUAUUUAUUGUAAUAUCAUCUGUGACAA
RNAcentral lists this long non-coding RNA (883 nucleotides) under Mytilus galloprovincialis (Mediterranean mussel). Lineage: Eukaryota; Metazoa; Mollusca; Bivalvia; Mytilida; Mytilidae. The record is from RNAcentral.